Molecule: ribosomal RNA, 550 nt
Filed under: uncultured bacterium
Lineage: Bacteria
Description: bacterial SSU rRNA
Rfam family: Bacterial small subunit ribosomal RNA
Source: RNAcentral
UGGGGAAUAUUGGACAAUGGGCGAAAGCCUGAUCCAGCCAUGCCGCGUGUGUGAAGAAGGCCUUUUGGUUGUAAAGCACUUUAAGUGGGGAGGAAAAGCUUAUGGUUAAUACCCAUAAGCCCUGACGUUACCCACAGAAUAAGCACCGGCUAACUCUGUGCCAGCAGCCGCGGUAAUACAGAGGGUGCAAGCGUUAAUCGGAAUUACUGGGCGUAAAGCGCGCGUAGGUGGUUAUUUAAGUCAGAUGUGAAAGCCCCGGGCUUAACCUGGGAACUGCAUCUGAUACUGGAUAACUAGAGUAGGUGAGAGGGGAGUAGAAUUCCAGGUGUAGCGGUGAAAUGCGUAGAGAUCUGGAGGAAUACCGAUGGCGAAGGCAGCUCCCUGGCAUCAUACUGACACUGAGGUGCGAAAGCGUGGGUAGCAAACAGGAUUAGAUACCCUGGUAGUCCACGCCGUAAACGAUGUCUACCAGUCGUUGGGUCUUUUAAAGACUUAGUGACGCAGUUAACGCAAUAAGGUAGACCGCCUGGGGAGUACGGCCGCAAGGUUA